GACGAACGCUGGCGGCGUGCCUAAUACAUGCAAGUCGAACGCACUGGGGACGGGUGAGUAACACCUGGGUAACCUCCCAUCAGAGGGGAUAACACUUGGCUACAGGUGCUAAAACCGAUAUUGAUGGAUGGACCCGCGGUGCAUUAGCCAGUUGGUGGGGUAACGGCUCACCAAGGCCACGAUGCCUAGCGGGGCUGAGAGGAUGAUCGGCCACACGGGGACUGAGACACGGCCCAGACUCCUACGGGAGGCAGCAGUAGGGAAUAUUCGGCAAUGGACGAAAGUCUGACCGAGCAAUGCCGCGUGUGUGAAGAAGGUCUUCGGAUCGUAAAACUCUGUUGGUAGGGAAGCGGUAUCUAACCAGAAAGCAACGGCUAACUACGUGCCAGCAGCCGCGGUAAUUC
This 404-nucleotide ribosomal RNA is filed under the name uncultured bacterium. RNAcentral's name for it is "partial 16S ribosomal RNA". It matches the Rfam family "Bacterial small subunit ribosomal RNA", at positions 28 to 526 of the family's 1533-position model. The record is from RNAcentral.